CCUACGGGAGGCAGCAGUGAGGAAUAUUGGUCAAUGGGCGCAGGCCUGAACCAGCCAAGUCGCGUGAGGGAUGACGGUCCUACGGAUUGUAAACCUCUUUUGUCGGGGAGUAACGUGCGGGACGGGUCCCGUAUUGAGAGUACCCGAAGAAAAAGCAUCGGCUAACUCCGUGCCAGCAGCCGCGGUAAUACGGAGGAUGCGAGCGUUAUCCGGAUUUAUUGGGUUUAAAGGGUGCGCAGGCGGCGCGCCAAGUCAGCGGUCAAAGUUCCGGGCUCAACCCGGUGUCGCCGUUGAAACUGGCGUGCUCGAGUGCGUGCGAGGAAGGCGGAAUGCGUUGUGUAGCGGUGAAAUGCAUAGAUAUGACGCAGAACUCCGAUUGCGAAGGCAGCUUUCCAGCGCGCUACUGACGCUGAGGCACGAAAGCGUGGGGAUCGAACAGGAUUAGAUACCCCUGUAGUC
This 459-nucleotide ribosomal RNA is filed under the name Salmonella enterica subsp. enterica serovar Montevideo. RNAcentral describes it as "bacterial SSU rRNA". It matches the Rfam family "Bacterial small subunit ribosomal RNA", at positions 338 to 795 of the family's 1533-position model. Lineage: Bacteria; Pseudomonadati; Pseudomonadota; Gammaproteobacteria; Enterobacterales; Enterobacteriaceae. The record is from RNAcentral.